Molecule: ribosomal RNA, 476 nt
Filed under: Myrmica ruginodis
Lineage: Eukaryota; Metazoa; Arthropoda; Insecta; Hymenoptera; Formicidae
Description: partial 28S ribosomal RNA
Source: RNAcentral
CGAACGGGGAGAUUCAUCGUCAGCGGACGCCGGCUUCGCGUCGGUCGGCGAUGUCCCGCGGGGGCCCUCGCGGCUCUCAGCGCGGGCACGCUGCCGUGCGCCGAUGUAUCCGGCUUCGCCGUCGUGCACUUCUCCCCUGGUAGAACGUCGCGACCCGCUGGGUGUCGGUCUACGGCCCGGGUGCGGUGUCUGACGCGCCGCCGGUAAAACGGCGCGCGUCAAACCCCCGGUCGCCCGGCCGGCUGCCCGGCGGUACGCGCAAGGUAUCAGGCCGCACGCCCCGCGCGCAUUGUUGUGUGUGGGGAAAUGGUGCGUCGAGGCCGUCGCAAGCGCGCGCCACGGUACACGGAGGUACGGACCUAGCGCCGUCACCGGUCCUGGCCCGCUGUUGGUCGUACGGUUAACCUUCGACAGGCCUACGAACGUCACGGCGCGUCGCGCGCGGGGGUCUCCGAUUUCCGCGCGCUCGCGUCGGC